GAGCUAUUUGAAGAAGGUUCAGCAAUGCUUUCUGAGAGGUUAGGUAGCGACACACCAACAGCACAGACGACUUCAUCUCUCUUCACUUGUGCAAUAUGCCAAGUUGACCUUGCCCCGAGUGAAGGCAUAUCAGUUCAUGCUGGUUCUAUCUUCUCGACCAGCUCAAAGCCAUGGCAAGGUCCCUUUCUCUGUGCCGAUUGUCGUAGCAAGAAGGAUGCUAUGGAAGGAAAAC
RNAcentral lists this unclassified non-coding RNA (232 nucleotides) under Hevea brasiliensis (rubber tree). The record is from RNAcentral. Lineage: Eukaryota; Viridiplantae; Streptophyta; Magnoliopsida; Malpighiales; Euphorbiaceae.